RNAcentral lists this ribosomal RNA (254 nucleotides) under uncultured bacterium. RNAcentral's name for it is "partial 16S ribosomal RNA". It matches the Rfam family "Bacterial small subunit ribosomal RNA", at positions 524 to 777 of the family's 1533-position model. The record is from RNAcentral.
UACGGAGGAGGCAAGCGUUAUCCGGAAUUAUUGGGCGUAAAGCGUCCGCAGGUGGCACCUCAAGUCUGCUGUCAAAGACCGGGGCUUAACCCCAGAAAGGCAGUGGAAACUGAAGUGCUAGAGUGCAGUAGGGGUAGAGGGAAUUCCCGGUGUAGCGGUGAAAUGCGUAGAGAUCGGGAAGAACAUCGGUGGCGAAAGCGCUCUGCUGGACUGCAACUGACACUCAGGGACGAAAGCUAGGGGAGCGAAAUGGG